Molecule: transfer RNA, 75 nt
Filed under: Rachovia maculipinnis
Lineage: Eukaryota; Metazoa; Chordata; Actinopteri; Cyprinodontiformes; Rivulidae
Description: tRNA-Trp
Source: RNAcentral
GGGAAUUUAGGUUAACAUAUUUUAAACCCAGAACCUUCAAAAUUCUAAACGAAAACAUAAAACUUUCAAUUCCCA